AGCCUGAUGCAGCGACGCCGCGUGAGGGAUGACGGCCUUCGGGUUGUAAACCUCUUUCAGUAGGGAAGAAGCGUAAGUGACGGUACCUGCAGAAGAAGCGCCGGCUAACUACGUGCCAGCAGCCGCGGUAAUACGUAGGGCGCAAGCGUUAUCCGGAAUUAUUGGGCGUGAAGAGCUCGUAGGCUGCUUGUCGCGCCUGCCCUGCAAGAACUGGGCUCAACUCCGGAUCUGCGGUGGGUACGGGCAGACUAGAGUGAUGUAGGGGAGACUGGAAUUCCUGGUGUAGCGGUGAAAUGCGCAGAUAUCAGGAGGAACACCGAUGGCGAAGGCAGGUCUCUGGGCAUUAACUGACCGUGAGGAGCGAAAGCAUGGGGAGCGAACAGGAUUAGAUACCCUGGUAGUCCAUGCCGUAAACGUUGGGCACUAGGUGUGGGGGACAUUCCACGUUUUCCGCGCCGUAGCUAACGCA
This 469-nucleotide ribosomal RNA is filed under the name Pseudarthrobacter oxydans. Its description in RNAcentral is "bacterial SSU rRNA". It matches the Rfam family "Bacterial small subunit ribosomal RNA", at positions 380 to 859 of the family's 1533-position model. The record is from RNAcentral. Lineage: Bacteria; Bacillati; Actinomycetota; Actinomycetes; Micrococcales; Micrococcaceae.